Molecule: ribosomal RNA, 524 nt
Filed under: uncultured bacterium
Lineage: Bacteria
Description: bacterial SSU rRNA
Rfam family: Bacterial small subunit ribosomal RNA
Source: RNAcentral
CUGCCGCGUGCAGGAUGAAGGCCUUCGGGUUGUAAACUGCUUUUGUACGGAACGAAAAGACUCCUUCUAAUAAAGGGGGUCCAUGACGGUACCGUAAGAAUAAGCACCGGCUAACUACGUGCCAGCAGCCGCGGUAAUACGUAGGGUGCGAGCGUUAAUCGGAAUUACUGGGCGUAAAGCGUGCGCAGGCGGUUAUAUAAGACAGAUGUGAAAUCCCCGGGCUCAACCUGGGAACUGCAUUUGUGACUGUAUAGCUAGAGUACGGCAGAGGGGGAUGGAAUUCCGCGUGUAGCAGUGAAAUGCGUAGAUAUGCGGAGGAACACCGAUGGCGAAGGCAAUCCCCUGGGCCUGUACUGACGCUCAUGCACGAAAGCGUGGGGAGCAAACAGGAUUAGAUACCCUGGUAGUCCACGCCCUAAACGAUGUCAACUGGUUGUUGGGUCUUCACUGACUCAGUAACGAAGCUAACGCGUGAAGUUGACCGCCUGGGGAGUACGGCCGCAAGGUUGAAACUCAAUGAAAUU